Xenia sp. Carnegie-2017 is the source of this 633-nucleotide long non-coding RNA. RefSeq lists it as uncharacterized. The transcript has 5 exons. Lineage: Eukaryota; Metazoa; Cnidaria; Anthozoa; Malacalcyonacea; Xeniidae. The record is from RefSeq and is a predicted model, not a curated record.
GGAAUUAUCUGAUGAUAGAGUGUAACAAGAUCCUGUUUUCUUUGCUUUUAUCAUUUCCGCUACAUAGUGAGAUGUAAAAGAAGCCUGUGUUUGGUAAAGAAUUUCAAGUCCCACCUAUUCCUAAACGUACAGACAAAAAGGAUCGGACGUAGGCUGAAAUUGUUCAUAUAUACAAUCUGGAAGCCAAACUGUGUGGAGCUAACUGAAGCCACAAAUAAUGGAUACGAAAAUGGAUGCUAUUUUCAGAGCCAUACCACUGAAUUGUUUUCCCUGGUUUGAAAAAAUACUGCUUUCUAUCUAUUUCACAUUUACAAUCAUCGCUCCUGGAAUUUCGAAAACAUUUGAUCGUCAAACUUCUUUUACUUGUAAUGGCAAGAUGAUUUCAAAAUUCCAAGAAACUUCUCUUAUAAAGAAUAUUGAAUCAAGAUGUUUGAGACAAUACCAAAAUGAAACUUGGGAUAAUAUAUAUGUGGUGUCCUUUAAUUUCUUUUUCCUCUUUUUUUGGGGUAUGAUCUGUGGACAGUCUGUGGCCAAUCGACUUAAAAACUUUGAUAAGUUCUUGUCAGAAAGAAGCAGUGAAGUCAGAAAGGUAUUAUGAGGCAGAGACAUACGGCAUAGGACGUUUGUAAACGA